GUCCUCUUGUUUUUUAUAGGAGGUCCGACCUGCCCAGUGAAAUUGUUUUUAACGGCCGCGGUAUUCUGACCGUGCAAAGGUAGCAUAAUCAUUAGUCUUUUAAUGGGAGGCUGGAAUGAAAGGUUUGACGAAAUAUUUACUGUCUCAGUAUAAUAAGUUAAAAUUUAGAUUUUGAGUCAUAAGACUUAGAUUUUUUUGGAAGACGAGAAGACCCUAUAGAGCUUUAGGGUUAUUUUUUUAAUCUUGUUUUUUUUAUUCUUUUAGAUUAUUAAUUAGAUCCUUUUGUUGGGGUGACAGAGGAUAUAUACACAACUUUUUUAUUUUUUAUACAUUUAUUUAUGAUUAUUAGAUCCAUUAUUAUUGAUUGUUAGAUAAAGUUACCUUAGGGAUAACAGCGUAAUCUUCCUUCAGAGUUCAAAUUUACAGGAAGGCUUGCGACCUCGAUGUUGGAUUAAGAUAAUAAUUAGGUGUAGUAGCUUAAAUUAAUAGGUCUGUUCGACCUUUAAAUUCUU
RNAcentral lists this ribosomal RNA (512 nucleotides) under Caliphaea consimilis. RNAcentral describes it as "partial 16S ribosomal RNA". It matches the Rfam family "Bacterial large subunit ribosomal RNA", at positions 1830 to 2597 of the family's 2925-position model. The record is from RNAcentral. Lineage: Eukaryota; Metazoa; Arthropoda; Insecta; Odonata; Calopterygidae.